Non-coding RNA from Neolamprologus brichardi, 2324 nucleotides. The record is from RefSeq and is a predicted model, not a curated record. Lineage: Eukaryota; Metazoa; Chordata; Actinopteri; Cichliformes; Cichlidae.
UAAGCUCUUUGACAAACUGUCAGAAUUUAAGUGCUCCCGAGCUAGUGAGGGUCCAGUUGGCUCCUCUCUGUGACGUACAUUUCAUCAGUAGACGAGUCCAAAAAUCCAUGCAGACAGUCACAUGCUUUUCUGUGUCACCAACAAAGCUUUUCCUCCAAAUGAAAGCGCUAAAAUAGCUUAAUGACUUUUUCUUAAUUUCAACAGUUGCCCGUGUGAGUACAACAGAAUAACAGAAUCACAAGUUGGGAGAUAUUUCAAAAUUGAAGAUUUCCUAAAGGCUUAACCAGGGCAUCACGUGGUCAGAUGCAGUCAUCUGAAGUUUUACUUUUACACUCUUUGGGUUUCAUCUUCAUUCUUAAGAGUGAUGCAGCCUUAAAUCUUAGUGGGAUAUAAAAAAAGAGCCUCUGCCUUAAACUGAAUUUCAACAAUGAUUGCCUACAGCGAGAAGGAAGAACUCCCUUUUAACAGGAAGACCUCUUAAAUCUUCAGACGUGUGGCUGAACCAGGCUCAGGGAGGAACAUAUAGAGACCAGGGGUCACGGAAACUUCCAUAAGAGGAAAACAAGAAUAAUAUAUUAGUAUGAGAUGGAUUCUGUGUGGAGAAUUGCAUGUCUACCUGCAUGUUCCAGUUUCUUUCUAGUUCAAUUUCAUGCAUGUUAGGUUAAUGGUCAUCCUACAUUGUCCAUAGACAAGGCAGAUACACAAAAGUGCCCAAUAAACAGAAUACAAUCUGUUUUGUAAGCCUAAAAAAAAUCCAUAAAACACAACACAAAUCUAAUGAGGAAAAUGUGAAAGUUAAAAAAGUAAGCUAGCAACUACGGCACAGGAAACUGAGAAGAAGCAUUCAGGAUCAAACUCGGCCAACACCCCAGAGUCCAUGACAGUGAAUCUUCAAGAUGGACUAGUCAGGCAGGAGGAAGAAAGGCUUAUUGAUGUAGUGAAGGAAGACAUGCAGAGGAUUAGUGUGACAGAUGAGGAUGUAUGACCUGAGAUUGAGUUGCCCACCACUGCCCUAGAGGGAGGAGUGCCCAAAAGAAAGUCUAAAGCACUGCAGCAUCAGUAUGACUAGAAGAGCACAAUAUAAAUGCAAGUGCAUCACCUUAAAUGUACUUAAAAUGUGCAAAUACAUAAUUUCAUUAGAGCUGGUCACUGUAUUUUAUCAGUAUUUAUUUAAACUGAUUGAUUUAUUUUUGCCUUUACUGUUCAUUCUUUGCACAGUGCAAUGAGUGAAGAGUAAAGCAAGGGAGGAAAGAGUGUGUGGGAAUGACAUGCAGGUAAUGGGCUGCAGCAGAACCAAUCCAAGGCUCUGCAGUUUAGCGCCAGGCUGUUCUGAUGACCUAUAGCAACACCCUCCAGCAAACCCCCAAAACUCCAUCCCCGUAGAGACCGUGUCUGCUCCCAUACAAGCAAACUCCAAACCAAAAUCGGCAAACAACCAUCCAUCCAUCCAACCAUCCAUCCAUCCAUCCAUCCAACCAUCCAUCCAUCCAUCCAUCCAUCCAUCCAUCCAUCCAUCACUGUUAAAGGUGAAUUAAAACUCUAUUUAUCCUUGUCCACUCUAACUGGACAAGACAAAGACAGUUUUAGUUGUUUCCAUCAUCUUCAGUGUGUUUAUCUGAUGUCUCUGACUUUUUUGUCAGGUUUAGUGCCCAGUCAAAUAAUGUUGUUCAUCCAUUUAUAUGUUGAAAUGACACUGCAUUUAACUUAAACACAUAACUCAUAGGCUGGAGAGGCUAUCGUGCCUUUGGAAGACCUUAAUUUGACCUGGAAUAUCUGUGUUUUGCUUUACAUAGCAAUACUAUAGUUUAGGAUCCCUGGGUCUGUUUCAUCGUAUGUUUUGUUUGUUGGACUUCUGAAUCAAUAUUGUAUUGUGUUUUGAGAAAAGUGUUCUGGAUUUAUCUGGAUUUGUUCGUGCCUUUGAUGUCCCCCCGUGCUUCCUGGGUUAUUGUCUAUAUUUCUAGUUCUUAGUCCUCGUUCAUUCUCAGUUCCCUUUUGUGUCGAGGUUGUCUUCGUCUCUCCGUGUCCCUCACUCUCUCCGUGUUGUUUUUCCUGUUUUAUUUUGUCAGCCCCUUGUCUCGUGCAUGUUCAGUUUUGCUUCCCCUAUCUCGUCUGUUUGCUUCAGCUGUGUUCCCAUGUGUCUCCACUUCCCCUGACCACCCUCCUGUGUUUAUUUGGUGUCAGGUCCCCUUAUCAGAGUGUCCUGUUAUCUUCUGGUUUCUGUCGUUCCAAGUUUAGUUUUUCAAUAGUUCCCAUUGACACUUGGACUUUUGCCUUUGUUUUGUACCUGUUCCAUCGGUUCAAUAAAGGGCUCGCUUCUGUUCAAA